AUUGAACGCUGGCGGCAGGCCCAACACAUGCAAGUCGAACGGUAACAGGAAGAAGCUUGCUUCUUUGCUGACGAGUGGCGGACGGGUGAGUAAUGUCUGGGAAACUGCCUGAUGGAGGGGGAUAACUACUGGAAACGGUAGCUAAUACCGCAUAACGUCGCAAGACCAAAAAGGGGGACCUUCGGGCCUCUUGCCAUCGGAUGUGCCCAGAUGGGAUUAGCUAGUAGGUGGGGUAACGGCUCACCUAGGCGACGAUCCCUAGCUGGUCUGAGAGGAUGACCAGCCACACUGGAACUGAGACACGGUCCAGACUCCUACGGGAGGCAGCAGUGGGGAAUAUUGCACAAUGGGCGCAAGCCUGAUGCAGCCAUGCCGCGUGUAUGAAGAAGGCCUUCGGGUUGUAAAGUACUUUCAGCGGGGAGGAAGGGAGUAAAGUUAAUACCUUUGCUCAUUGACGUUACCCGCAGAAGAAGCACCGGCUAACUCCGUG
RNAcentral lists this ribosomal RNA (490 nucleotides) under uncultured bacterium. RNAcentral's name for it is "partial 16S ribosomal RNA". It matches the Rfam family "Bacterial small subunit ribosomal RNA", at positions 30 to 507 of the family's 1533-position model. The record is from RNAcentral.